GAAGCCAUCCCCCAUUUUCAUAUCUUCACCAAAUUUUCAUUUCAUCAUCAAAUCCUUCCUUUUCAAGCUCUUUGGAACCUAGACUUGCUAAGGGAAUCACUUCACUUAAGGAAACGCGAAACGGUAGAUAGUGUGAAACAUUGUGGUUUUGGUUGGAAGCAUUGCCGAGACGAUGGAGCGCCAUCUGAGACCGUAGGCC
Long non-coding RNA from Trifolium pratense (red clover), 199 nucleotides. RefSeq lists it as uncharacterized. Lineage: Eukaryota; Viridiplantae; Streptophyta; Magnoliopsida; Fabales; Fabaceae. The record is from RefSeq and is a predicted model, not a curated record. The transcript has 3 exons.